This is a long non-coding RNA of Selaginella moellendorffii, 2305 nucleotides long. RefSeq lists it as uncharacterized. The transcript is spliced from 4 exons. The record is from RefSeq and is a predicted model, not a curated record. Lineage: Eukaryota; Viridiplantae; Streptophyta; Lycopodiopsida; Selaginellales; Selaginellaceae.
UGGCUUGUCGGAUCGCGAGUUUCUUGAGCUCUGGAAGCGUAAAUCCGUCAGGCGGUCGCAGCAGCCAUGGAUUUGCGCGAGAAUAAAGAGCGGCCCCGAUAUCCGAGGUCUGGAAGGUCACAUUUCCUCAGGAACAUCGCAGCUCCAGAUUAUGGCGUCCUUGGCCGGGGAUUCAAUGGCGUGCGUCAGCUGCCAUCGCCUCCAAGCAUUGGCAGCCACCAGGCGACCAUGGACGUGGACGCCACUGGGAAUUUCUACAAGGUCGGUUUCUUUGAAGCACUACCAUUUCUUAUCUAUGAUUCCAGACUGGAAGCUUGGGUGACCGAUGCUAGCCAGGGACAGGGAUCUUCGAGGCUCUCUCUAAAUGAGCAAUCUGGAUAUGAGCUCGAGAUCAUGGUCGGAGGUAGAAGGCUGUGGCUUUCCGGAUAAAAGCCUGGGUAUCAUGCUCCAUGAUCAAUCACAGGGGCUAUUUCAGUAUCUCGGCAGCCUCUUUGGUUGAUGCUCGCAGAGCCUAUGAUCAUCUACGAAGUGGAAGUUCUCAUCUACGAGCCUGACACUGAGUGGCAUUACGUUGGAGGGGAGCUUUAUCUUCGUCCAGGCACUAGUGUACCUGCGAAGUUCUCACUCGGUCUGGGAAGAGUGGAGCUCCAUUUUUCCUCCAGCAGGUGCUUUCAACGUUUUCAUCCCAGAGGCUACUUAAGCUUCUACUGCUUUGGUAAUCGCGAGUUCCGGAAGCACGAGCCCACCACCUGAGAAGAACAGGCUCUGCGAGCAUCAACCAAAGAUCGAUGGACGGCUGCCGAGAUACUGAAAUAGCAAUGGGAGCGUUCCAGCCAAACUACACGUGGAAGCAGCAGCACAAACAUCCUAGGCAAGCUCAAUUUUUCUUGCUUGUAACAUCUUAAAGCUUGCCUUCGUUUCUUCCAGGCCUAUGGCUAUCUGGCUUGCGUGGAAGAUUGUUUCGAGAUCCAGCAAGCGUGGAAACAGUGCGUUGAUCGAGGAGGAGAACUGGAAGCAGGAUGGUCGAUAUGCAAUGCCUUAGCCGGUGGAGGUCACCCCAGAAGGAAAUCUGCCACUCCGCGAAUUGUCUGUACAAAAGAAGGGUGACUCAAAAGCGGGGCGUGAUCUUGUUUGGGACAAAAACUCCCAGUCAGGCAGUGGAUGAGGCAUUAGAAUCAAUCGACAGGUGGGUAGAUCAGGGUGAUGACGAGAAGAUCAUGGCGUGGACGAUGUAUAUCAGUGACGGCCAUGGUAGGCCACAGGACUACACCGCUGAGAAGCCACCGAAAAAGCUGUUGCUAUCUGCAGACAAAUGGUGGAAGAACAAACAGGAGGAGAGGAGGGCAGCAUUGAAGAAGUGGGACUUGGCUUUGAAGCUGCAGGAUAGCAAGAGGAGAGGAGGAAAGGGCUCGGGAGUUCAAGCAGAAGAGGAGAUGGAAGCCCAUGAAACCAUGGCUAAUGCUGGAAGAAGGAGGUGGUCUCCUAGAGUGAAGCUCGUAGAUUUUGCAGACUUGUGUUGGAUCGAACGAAGCCGUUGCAUGCAGUUUUGAUUGUGUGGGAUCCCAAGUGGAGGUGUGAACAUUUUCUUCUGGACAAAAUUGGAGGUAGUUGGGACUCAUGGAAACGCACCAAGGAACGGAUUUGUAAAAUAACAACUGUCGAAACAUUAAAGUUUAUAUGUGGCAAUGAAGCACAAGUACACAAUGAAACAACUGACAGUCGUUUUAAGAAAUGCAUGUACGCCUGCGAUGAGGGUCAGCAAAACUAUCCAAUCGGUCUUUAAUGCACUUUAGAGUGCAAUUGUGCCGCAAAUUGUGGUGAAGGUUGUUUGUGGCACUGGUUGAUGCUAAGAACGGAAAGAGGAUUCUCGAUACUCAAGUUGAAGUUAGAACCUUAACUUUAGUAUCCAGCGUUGAAAUUAAUUGAGAUGAAAUCCUUGCCAAGGGGGGCAAAUGGAAACUCUUUGUCUGGUGACCAGCAGCUAAAUGGACAGUGUAAGCAAAGACAACAGCUAAUCAUUCUCAAUGAUGAUGUAGAGGAACUUCUAUCACCUCCUUUACAUAAGGAGAACAGGUUCACGUUGGAAACCAGUCUGGAGAACUCCAUGCAAUCGUCAUGAGAACAGAUUUGAUAAGCAACGAUCACUUCAAAGCAACUUGAACAAUGAAAAUUAUGGAAAGUGGCGAUGUUAAGAUUGGCGAUAUCACCAAAGCUUGACUCACGAGCUUUUGAUCAAGUGUUACGAAAUCGGGAUUAAAACUCAGAGAAUAUAGAGAGAUUAGUGAAUAGUAAUUAUAAUUGUGAA